AAUCUUCUUCUUCUCCCAUCAAAAUCUUACCGGUCCCCUUUUUCUCCUCCUCUCCCCUUCCACCGAAACCCUAGGGAUGGCGUCGCCGGCGUCUCGGUGCGUCCUGCUGGAUCCAGGUGUGCCCGACGUGUUCUCCAUCGGUCCAACGGAACAAGGGUGGGCGUCUAUCGACUUGAAGAAGAAGAGGUACCAAGGGUGAGGGAGGUACGGCCCCUUGUUGGCGGAGAGCGUGAAGCUCUAUGCGCGCCUCGCCGAGGAGCACCCGACUCUCUCUCGGUUGGCCGUCUGCGCCGACAAGAAUAUCAUCCACUUCAUCGUGGCGGAAGAACUCAAGAAGAAGCAAGCUUCCAAGGCCGCCGAAUCUUCACCCCCCGGCCUCAUGGUGCCGGAUCUGGCGAUUCGCGCCAUCGAGUUCGACAAGAUCGACGAGAUCUCAGGUGUCACUGCCCGCGUCGAGGUCGCAGACAAGAACCUCAUGGUCCUCUCCCUGUCCUUCGUCUUCACAUCUAGCAAGCACUACCUCCUCUAUGAUGCCAUUCACGCAUCCAUGUCCAUGAUCCCCAUCCCGAAUUGGUGCUGCGAUAUCUACUUACCGUCGAACCCUCUCCCUGUGCGGUACGGUGAUGAGUACGCCCUAGUCCUCUUUGCCAAGAACUAUCCCUACAAGAGAGAAGGACGAUCCACCUGCAUUGACUUGCUCUACCUGUGGACGCCUCCAAAGUCGUCGUCGCCUCCAACGUUGCUGCCACCGCCGCCACCGCCGCCGCGAGAGAAGAUGUACCCGAAUCCCUCCGGUGAACCGUGGCACACCAGGAAACCGCGCUUCUCGAAGGAGACGCCAGCGUCCUUCUGCCACCACGUCAAGUUCACAUCCAGUAGCCAUGCUUUCUGGGCUGAUCUCACCAAGGGCGUCCUGUGCUGCCGCAUCAAGGACCUCUUGGACAGCUUCUUCGUCCAUUUUGACUUCAUUGAGUUGCCCCCUGGGUGCAAGUCUGACGCCCUUGAUGACUCCGAUACUGGGCCAGCGGAGAUGUUCCGAACCAUGGGCUGCAGCACUGGGGACUUGAUCAAGUUUGUCUCCAUCUCCUUCGAUGAUUCUGUGCCGGAGGACGACAAGACGGUGACGGAGUGGACACUGGACAUGGGUACCUUGCAGUGGACCAAGGGCGAGGAGCUGCGCUUCGGAACUCUGUGGGAACUGGAUGACUUCAAGAAGGAUGGAUUACCGGAGACCGAGCCAGUGUACCCCCUGCUGAGCAUGGAGGAAGGCGAUGGUGGAGACCUUUACUUCAUACUGUCCAGGCCAAUCAUGCGGUGGGAGGACCCUGCGGUGCACCACGUCUGCCGAUUCAACAUGACAAGCAAGAAGCUUGUGUCCAACCCUCUUUCCUGGCGCCCAGAUAAGAUUGUUCCUUCUGGUUUGUUGGGCUGUGAAUUCUUCAGACACCUUGAUAGUCAGCGCCUUGUUCCUGACAAUAGGAAGAUGGAUGCGGGCAAAGUGCAAUCCUGGGUCGAGAUGGAGUCAGCAUUGGAGGAAGUUGAUGAAAGCAUGCAGAGAGAGAUAUCACGGAAGCAAAUGGUGUGGUCCGGGAGCCAGGUAGAUUUGUUUUGUGUCAAGAGCACUGAUGCUGUACCAGGAGGGAUCACGGAUGCUGCACAAGGAGGAGUAUCAGACGGGCUACAGGGAAAGCUGAUAAAGCCAAGGGAGUCCAACAAGACUUUGCGUCCGGCCAGGCAAAUCAAGGCAAAUCCUCGCUAUUAUGGACCAGAAUGGGCCGUGUAAUGUGAGCUGUAGACAGCUGUGUGGUGUUGCGAGUGAGAGAGGAAAGAAAUGAGUGGGUAGGUGAGAUUCAGAUAUAAACCGAUGUAACCAACUGAAGAAACUAAGAACUGGCAACUUGGAGGCGAUGGCGGCGGUGGCUCAAUCCUGUUGGAUUGGAGCAGAGUAAUCAAAAUUGGUUGCCUAAUCUCGUUCGUUCUUCCUUGAGUUUUGCUUUGUGUUUGAUUUAGAGUAGCUGUUAUCAUUUUGCCAGGCAAGUUAGGGAGAUCAGACUCUGAAUUCCAUCAUUCGAUGUUCGCAAGCUGGGUUCUUUAAUACUUCUGUUUAUCGGCACCAGUAUGUUUUUGCUUGUCGAUCUCACAAUCUUAUGUAUGCACUGAAGUAAUAUGAAUUUAUCUUGGGUUAACUGCUUUU
RNAcentral lists this long non-coding RNA (2194 nucleotides) under Oryza sativa aromatic subgroup. RNAcentral's name for it is "lncRNA OsARC_03g0035190". The record is from RNAcentral. Lineage: Eukaryota; Viridiplantae; Streptophyta; Magnoliopsida; Poales; Poaceae.